GCUGGGUGUGGUGGUGCACACCUGUAAUCCCAACUACUUGGGGGCUGAGGCAUGAGAAUCGCUUGAACCCAGGAGACAGAGGUUGCAGUGAGCUGAGGUUGCACCAUUGCACUCUAGCCUGGGCAACAGAGCGAGACUCUGUCUCAA
This is an unclassified non-coding RNA of Pongo abelii (Sumatran orangutan), 147 nucleotides long. It matches the Rfam family "Metazoan signal recognition particle RNA". From Rfam's summary of the family: The signal recognition particle (SRP) is a universally conserved ribonucleoprotein. The record is from Ensembl. Lineage: Eukaryota; Metazoa; Chordata; Mammalia; Primates; Hominidae.